This 253-nucleotide ribosomal RNA is filed under the name uncultured bacterium. Its description in RNAcentral is "partial 16S ribosomal RNA". It matches the Rfam family "Bacterial small subunit ribosomal RNA", at positions 524 to 776 of the family's 1533-position model. The record is from RNAcentral.
UACGUAGGGUGCAAGCGUUAUCCGGAAUUAUUGGGCGUAAAGAGCUCGUAGGCGGUUUGUCGCGUCUGCUGUGAAAACCCGAGGCUCAACCUCGGGCCUGCAGUGGGUACGGGCAGACUAGAGUGCGGUAGGGGAGAAUGGAAUUCCUGGUGUAGCGGUGGAAUGCGCAGAUAUCAGGAGGAACACCGGUGGCGAAGGCGGGUCUCUGGGCCGUAACUGACGCUGAGGAGCGAAAGCGUGGGGAGCGAACAGG